This 2677-nucleotide long non-coding RNA is filed under the name Triticum aestivum (bread wheat). Its description in RNAcentral is "long non-coding RNA (TAES_LNC013204)". The record is from RNAcentral. Lineage: Eukaryota; Viridiplantae; Streptophyta; Magnoliopsida; Poales; Poaceae.
CGCGGUGUGCUUGGUGGAGGGAGGCUCGUCUCUCGCAGCUCGGCAGCGAGGCGUGGUGGUGGUCCCUGAGUGGCGAUGGCGCGGUUGCUGCGCAGGGGUGCGCGGGUCAGUGGAGGUGCUGGUUGGCGUCGGUCAACCGCGUGGGAGUGGUGGUGUUGCUGAUUCGGGCGAAAGCUUGGCCGGUGCUAGCUGGCCGUCGGCGGCGGCGCUCGUGGGCGUCGCUUUCUUCCUUGGAGGCGCCAUCGUGGUGAUCUGUGCAUCCUCAUCUCUCGGGUCAAGAUCUCUGGGCGAAAGUCAGGAUCCUUGUUGGAUCAAGCGGCGUCGUCGUCUCGAACGUCGGUUUCCCUCUUGGGGGCGCCGUUUUGGAGAUCUUGGUCCCUUUUGUGCUUCCUGCAGGCUGGACGUGCACGGCAUCGCGGUCAGCAGGUGCCCGACUGGCGGUGAGGUUUGUUUGGCGUUGCGACGCGUGUGGCAACGACGAUGGUGGCGAGCAAAGCCGAGUCGCGGCUUGUCCUUUUAAUGUCGAAGGUCCGGUGCGCCAAUGGGUGUGCCAAUGCUGGUUUCUGACUGUGACAGAGAAGUCGGCGCUGUGGGAGGCGAGGCCGCUGCGGCAACGAUGACUCCAUGAGGGCGGUUUUCAGCGUGCGGUGCUCUCUGGAUGUUGCGCUAGACUAGGUCGGUGCGAGGCUUGCAACUUUCUUCUCUGAAGCUCGUCAGCAAAAUCGGAGCUGCCAUGUCCUCGACGUUGCGGUCGACUGUUUGGCGUUGUUGUAGCCAGGUCGUCCGCGUGUGCCCCUUGUGGGGUUUGUAUCUAGGUUUUCGCCUGGUUUUCCUUUAAUUAACCGGGCAACUCUCUUCUUCUUAAUCAAUGAAAAUGGCAAAUCUUUUGCCUCGUUUCAAAAAAAAAAACUUUUAAUCUAUUCAUCUUCAAUCACGACAGUACAACGAACACCAGAAAUAAAAAAAAUUACAUACAGAUUCGUAGACCAUCUAGUGACUACUACAAGCACUGAAGCGAGCCGAAGGCGCGCCGCUGUCAUCGCCCCUCCCUUGCCCGAGUCGGGCACAACUUGUUGUAGUAGACUGUCGGAAAGUCUUCGUGCUAAGGUUCUAUAGGACCAACGCAUCAGAACAACAACCGCCGCCGAUAAAGAGAAACUUAGAUCGAAAGGAUCCAACCUCCACACUAAGUGUUGUGUUGAGAAGAGAAAUAGAAGACCACACGCGUGCUUGCCUUGCCUCGCCUGGCCGGGCACAACUUCCUUUUGCCGUUUCAUUUUUUGAUGUCUUAGCAGACAAGUUAAUUAUUUCUUGUCCGGUAAGUACAUGACUUAGAAACCAAGUUGGUUUGAGAUCGUGAUCACGACACGAUACUGCUUCUGGUCCUAUUAUAUAUACCGCUACCAGCCGUGGCCAAAGACACAACAAAAACAUCUAGUGUUUUGCCACAUCUUGCAACUUACGCCGCCACAUUAGUCUAUUCCAUCCCGAACGACGGCGUGCAUCGACGUGCGCGAGAGGAGGUCUCUAGAAGCGUUCCUCCUUGCGAUUCUACACCGGAAGAGGACUAAUUAGGUUUUUGAGAAGUGCUCUGCGUGACUGCUCCAGUUCGUCAUCACGGGUAGUCUUCUGUCCAAAUCGGGCAGCGCUACUCAUCGUCAUCUACAACACCGUUAGCAAAAGAUUCGACGUCAACAUCGUCAUCAACAACAUCACUCCCACGGUAGCUAACGAACAAUACGGCAAUAUGUUCAUGUCUCUAUUUGUAGUUGUUGUUACAUAUGUGAUCAUGCCGUGCAUGUUAUCCCGUUUGUCUAGUAUGCUAGAUUAUUGCAUGCUAUUUUUUUGUACUAUUCAUGAAUUAUUUACUGGAAUUAAAAAUGGAUUUGCCUAAUAUUCCAACACAGACGUGUACAAGCUAAGAAACUUGAGGCUUAGAGUUUAACUCUGAAUCAUCGAACCAAAUAUUUAAAUCCAUGCUGAGGCACGCAUAUAACUAGUGAACAAAAAAGUACGUCGCCAUCUCUUCGGAGACUGUUGAUAUCGAUAAAUGUGACUCAAAUAUGGAAGUAGACAAGAAGAUGGUGAUUAGAUGUUGCUGCCCACUCAGAAGAAGAUCCCCACCACCCAUUGAGUGUGCCCCGCGCUGCCACCUCGACAAGGCGGCAGCGACAAUAGGGUUGAUCAAAACCACUGAUUGUGAGCCGAACAAAGGUGAGGCUCCUAUCACCGCCUCAGGGACAGGACCAGGGUACAUGGGAAGAGGGAGGUGGCGGAAGGUUAGUGGUGGUACCUCACAACUCUGGCUUGGCCUCCCUCUUAAUUUUCCAGCCCUUCCCUCCUCUGUCCAUCUCUAGCACUUUACAAGGUUAUUAUGGACUCUGUCCAUCUCUAGCACUUUACAAGGUUAUUAUGGAUGGUUAUUAUUUAGGAACCAAAGUAUUCUAUGAGUUAUAGUCGAUAUUUUUUUAUGAUCUCUUGACAUGAACAAAUUCUACCCGCCAUCUUUAAAAUUCAUCCAUCCAUAAACAUUCUAAGAUAGUUUGAAGGUGUGAAAGUUGCAGGUUCAAGUGUAAAAAUAUCGAUUUCGAAAAGAAGGAUAACUAUCAGCAUCAUCAUCGGUUGAUGCACACAACCAUAUAUGACUUCCCUACUUAUAAAGAUUGGAGUUGAUGGU